AUCAGACACGGUGUCAGCAGCCGCGGUAAUACGUAGGGUGCAAGCGUUAAUCGGAAUUACUGGGCGUAAAGCGUGCGCAGGCGGUAAUGUAAGACAGUUGUGAAAUCCCCGGGCUCAACCUGGGAACUGCAUCUGUGACUGCAUUGCUGGAGUACGGCAGAGGGGGAUGGAAUUCCGCGUGUAGCAGUGAAAUGCGUAGAUAUGCGGAGGAACACCGAUGGCGAAGGCAAUCCCCUGGGCCUGUACUGACGCUCAUGCACGAAAGCGUGGGGAGCAAACAGGAUUAGAUACCCUGGUAGUCCACGCCCUAAACGAUGUCAACUGGUUGUUGGGUCUUCACUGACUCAGUAACGAAGCUAACGCGUGAAGUUGACCCGCCUGGGGAGUACGUUCGCAAGAAUGAAACUCAAAGGAAUUGACGGG
Molecule: ribosomal RNA, 423 nt
Filed under: uncultured bacterium
Lineage: Bacteria
Description: bacterial SSU rRNA
Rfam family: Bacterial small subunit ribosomal RNA
Source: RNAcentral